CCCAAUGUGAACGUUACCAAACUGUUGCCUCGGCGGGAUCUCUGCCCCGGGUGCGUCGCAGCCCCGGACCAAGGCGCCCGCCGGAGGACCAACCAAAACUCUUUUUGUAUACCCCCUCGCGGGUUUUUUAUAAUCUGAGCCUUCUCGGCGCCUCUCGUAGGCGUUUCGAAAAUGAAUCAAAACUUUCAACAACGGAUCUCUUGGUUCUGGCAUCGAUGAAGAACGCAGCGAAAUGCGAUAAGUAAUGUGAAUUGCAGAAUUCAGUGAAUCAUCGAAUCUUUGAACGCACAUUGCGCCCGCCAGUAUUCUGGCGGGCAUGCCUGUCCGAGCGUCAUUUCAACCCUCGAACCCCUCCGGGGGGUCGGCGUUGGGGAUCGGCCCUGCCUCUUGGCGGUGGCCGUCUCCGAAAUACAGUGGCGGUCUCGCCGCAGCCUCUCCUGCGCAGUAGUUUGCACACUCGCAUCGGGAGCGCGGCGCGUCCACAGCCGUUAAACACCCAACUUCUGAAAUGUUGACCUCGGAUCAGGUAGGAAUACCCGCUGAACUUAAGCAUAUCAAUAAGCGGAGGAA
Molecule: ribosomal RNA, 570 nt
Filed under: Trichoderma harzianum
Lineage: Eukaryota; Fungi; Ascomycota; Sordariomycetes; Hypocreales; Hypocreaceae
Description: eukaryotic LSU rRNA
Rfam family: 5.8S ribosomal RNA (bases 181-334)
Source: RNAcentral